AAGUCGAGGGGCAGCAUAGAAGUAGCAAUACUUUGGUGGCGACCGGCGCACGGGUGAGUAACGCGUAUGCAACCUACCUAUCAGAGGGGAAUAACCCGGCGAAAGUCGGACUAAUACCGCAUAAAACAGGGGCACCGCAUGGUGAUAUUUGUUAAAGAAAUUCGCUGAUAGAUGGGCAUGCGUUCCAUUAGGUAGUUGGUGAGGUAACGGCUCACCAAGCCGACGAUGGAUAGGGGAACUGAGAGGUUGGUCCCCCACACUGGUACUGAGACACGGACCAGACUCCUACGGGAGGCAGCAGUGAGGAAUAUUGGUCAAUGGGCGGGAGCCUGAACCAGCCAAGUCGCGUGAAGGAAGAAGGAUCUAUGGUUCGUAAACUUCUUUUGCAGGGGAAUAAAGUGCAGGACGUGUCCUGUUUUGUAUGUACCCUGAGAAUAAGGAUCGGCUAACUCCGUGCCAGCAGCCGCGGUAAUACGGAGGAUCCGAGCGUUAUCCGGAUUUAUUGGGUUUAAAGGGUGCGUAGGUGGUUUGAUAAGUCAGCGGUGAAAGUUUGCAGCUUAACUGUAAAAAUGCCGUUGAAACUGUCGGACUUGAGUGUAAAUGAGGUAGGCGGAAUGCGUGGUGUAGCGGUGAAAUGCAUAGAUAUCACGCAGAACUCCGAUUGCGAAGGCAGCUUACUAAGCUACAACUGACACUGAAGCACGAAAGCGUGGGGAUCAAACAGGAUUAGAUACCCUGGUAGUCCACGCAGUAAACGAUGAUUACUAGCUGUUUGCGAUACACAGUAAGCGGCACAGCGAAAGCGUUAAGUAAUCCACCU
This 820-nucleotide ribosomal RNA is filed under the name uncultured bacterium. RNAcentral describes it as "bacterial SSU rRNA". It matches the Rfam family "Bacterial small subunit ribosomal RNA", at positions 59 to 874 of the family's 1533-position model. The record is from RNAcentral.